CUUCCCGGCACCGCCCCCGGGGCUUCCCGCGCUCCCCGCGCACAGGCGCCCGAUGCAACGCCUGGCUGGCAGGAUCCCGCCCGCCGGCCUCCGCUGCCGGAGAGCGCGGGUGCGGGGCCGCCACGGGGAAGCGACCGCAGGGCGGGAAGGGAAGGCGGCGGUACCGGCAGCACCGGCAGCCGCGGGCAGCCCGAGAGACCGACCCACAGCGCCACCGCCCCCUGGAGGAGGUGGCUGCGCUCGGCCGCUCUCGGCAACACUCGGCUCCGCUCGGUAACACUCGGCCCCUACUCGGCUCCGCUCGGCAACACUCGGCUCCGCUCGGCCCCUACUCGGCUCCGCUCGGCCCCUACUCGGCUCCGCUCGGCCCCUACUCGGCCCCGCUCGGCCCCUACUCGGCCCCGCUCGGCCCCUACUCGGCCCCGCUCGGCUGCAAGGCUCGAAGGCGGCGGCGUGUGUGAACACAUAACAACAUCAGGAACAGAGGUCACGGGCGUUGAGAAACAAAUUUUGGGUGAAAAGCCACGUGUGUUCAUCGUGACCGUGCAGUUGCUAUUUGCUUGAUACAGACAGCAGAGUCACCCUUCGCCGUCCGCCUACUCCGAUGACAGUGGCUCACACUCCAUAACUGACAAGAGAAUGCAGGGCCUUAUGGAAAACUUGGUACCAAAAUAAGAGGGAGAAAUUCAAUAAAGGGAGAAAGAAAAAAAAUAAAGCAUUCAUAACAUAAAAGUGGGUUGGUAGAGGUAGAGCAGGUGGGGAAUCUCCAUUUGACAGCGACAUUUCGGUAUCUCUGAAGAGUUUGUAAGCGUAGAUGCAGUAGAAAUUGGAAUAAAACCAUUGACGGGUUUUCAGCGCAUUAACCAGAAUUAGGAGAAAAACAAACAAACAACAGUAUGGGGUUUCCACGUUUAUUUCUUUUAGUCCAGGGCUUAGACUUUAUAAUACACUCUAAUUUUUAAAACUUCCCGCCCGUUCCCCCCCCCCCAACCCCGACUUGGAGCAUGCGCACACAGCACAGGUGCCAGCGGCCGCCAGCAGGGGGCGGUGCGCGCAGGGUCCCUGUUGCCUUCAGCGACGGGUUGUUAGGGCGUGGUGCCGCCUGGGUCCAGCGGGGGGCGGUGCGCGUAGGGUCCGCGGUGCGGUUUGUGCGGGGCUGUCAUGAGGCGGUGGCGCCUGGGUCCGUCAGGGGCGGUGCGCGCAGGGUCCGCGGUGCGGUUUGCGCGGGGCUGUCGGGAGGCCGUGUCGCCUGGGUCCGUCAGGGGCGGUGCGCGCAGGGUCCGCGGUGCGGUUUGCGCGGGGCUGUCGGGAGGCCGUGUCGCCUGGGUCCGUCAGGGGCGGUGCGCGCAGGGUCCGCGGUGCGGUUUGCGCGGCGUUUCCACCAACCGCCAGCAGGAGGCGGUAGUGCGCUGGAGGGCUUGGGGACUUCAGGAGGCAAAAAGCGAGCGCGGUAGCAGCGGGGGGCGCCAAAAAGAGCCCGCGUCUCUCUGUGUUGCCCAGGCUACGCUGCAGUGGCUAUUCACAGGCGCGAUCCCGCUACUGACCGGCACGGGAGCUUUGACCUGCUCCGUCUCCGACCUGGGCCGGUUCACCCCUCCUUAGUCAACCUGGUGUCCCCCGGCUCCCCGGGACUCACCA
Molecule: long non-coding RNA, 1638 nt
Organism: Columba livia (rock pigeon)
Lineage: Eukaryota; Metazoa; Chordata; Aves; Columbiformes; Columbidae
Exons: 2
Source: RefSeq, a predicted model, not a curated record